RNAcentral lists this ribosomal RNA (496 nucleotides) under uncultured bacterium. Its description in RNAcentral is "partial 16S ribosomal RNA". It matches the Rfam family "Bacterial small subunit ribosomal RNA", at positions 28 to 506 of the family's 1533-position model. The record is from RNAcentral.
GAUGAACGCUGGCGGCGUGCCUAAUACAUGCAAGUCGAGCGAACAGACGAGGAGCUUGCUCCUCUGACGUUAGCGGCGGACGGGUGAGUAACACGUGGAUAACCUACCUAUAAGACUGGGAUAACUUCGGGAAACCGGAGCUAAUACCGGAUAAUAUAUUGAACCGCAUGGUUCAAUAGUGAAAGACGGUUUUGCUGUCACUUAUAGAUGGAUCCGCGCCGCAUUAGCUAGUUGGUAAGGUAACGGCUUACCAAGGCAACGAUGCGUAGCCGACCUGAGAGGGUGAUCGGCCACACUGGAACUGAGACACGGUCCAGACUCCUACGGGAGGCAGCAGUAGGGAAUCUUCCGCAAUGGGCGAAAGCCUGACGGAGCAACGCCGUGUGAGUGAUGAAGGUCUUCGGAUCGUAAAACUCUGUUAUUAGGGAAGAACAAAUGUGUAAGUAACUAUGCACGUCUUGACGGUACCUAAUCAGAAAGCCACGGCUAACUACGU